Molecule: unclassified non-coding RNA, 242 nt
Filed under: Hevea brasiliensis (rubber tree)
Lineage: Eukaryota; Viridiplantae; Streptophyta; Magnoliopsida; Malpighiales; Euphorbiaceae
Source: RNAcentral
CGGCUCUCCGCUGAGCUGCUCGAUGCGUCGAACAAUCGGGGCAACGCAGUCAAGAAGCGUGAAGACGUGCACAAGAUGGCGGAAGCCAACCGUGCCUUCUCGCACUAUCGCUGGUAACGGCGAAACGAACGGAAAUUUAAGGACAGCCCUAUGCCCCGCCUUCAUGCCAUCGAGGACUACCGUAAUUUCGGUAUCAUGGCGCACAUCGACGCCGGUAAAACGACGACGACCGAGCGCAUCCG